GGCGCCUCGGGAGGCGGGUCCUGUCGUCGCCAUGAUGGAGAAGGGCAGGAGACUGCUGACGCCGGCGCCGCCAUCUUGAGUGCGGGCCACACGUCGGGGACGAUUGCUGUGAGAUAGCUGACCCAGAGUGUCGUCUGCUCAGGCCCUGUGGAGUGUGGCCUUCAUGUGUACUCACUUCCCUGCGCCUCUUCCGGCCUCACCUGCUGGGGCACGUUAGCUCAGGGGAGAUGGAUAUCCAAAGCCAGCCGAGAGAACUGGACCUUCCUUAACAUCUCGGGGCACAUCCACCACAUGCCAAUCUAUGGCAAAGCAAGAGAGAAGACCCAGCUUGCAGCCCCCACUACGUCCUAGUUCAGGUGUCUGUCUCCUUGGUCGAAUCACUUAGCUUUCUGAGCCUGAGUUUCGUUUUGCGUAAGAUGAAACAAGAGCAGCCGCCGGGGGACAUGGGAUUAAACGAAGUACAAGUGUUGGUUUCUCAUCUCCGUGCAAGCAGAUUUAUCUGGCUCCUCGGUCGACAAAAUCAUCUCCUCAAGAAACAUGGGUAAGUGUAAGAUUUAACAAUAAAAUAAUAUUUUU
This 576-nucleotide long non-coding RNA is filed under the name Felis catus (domestic cat). RNAcentral describes it as "lncRNA (ENSFCAG00000051597.1)". Lineage: Eukaryota; Metazoa; Chordata; Mammalia; Carnivora; Felidae. The record is from RNAcentral.